RNAcentral lists this transfer RNA (147 nucleotides) under Candidatus Wukongarchaeota archaeon. Its description in RNAcentral is "tRNA-OTHER". Lineage: Archaea; Promethearchaeati; Candidatus Wukongarchaeota. The record is from RNAcentral.
GCCGGGGUAACCUAGCCUGGAUUGGGUGCCAGACGUUCCUUUCCUUGAUGGUUUGUGUUAGGGAAGGAAGUGGACUCAUAAUCUUUUCUUUCUGUUUUGGGGUUUAGAUGUAUUCUGGUUGCGUGGGUUCGAAUCCCAUCCCCGGCA